GCGGCAGGCCUAACACAUGCAAGUCGAGCGCGCCCUUCGGGGUGAGCGGCGGACGGGUGAGUAACGCGUGGGAACGUGCCCUUUGCUGCGGAAUAGCCACUGGAAACGGUGAGUAAUACCGCAUGAGCCCUUCGAGGGAAAGAUUUAUCGGCAAGGGAUCGGCCCGCGUUGGAUUAGGUAGUUGGUGGGGUAAUGGCCUACCAAGCCGACGAUCCAUAGCUGGUUUCAGAGGAUGAUCAGCCACACUGGGACUGAGACACGGCCCAGACUCCUACCGGAGGCAGCAGUGGGGAAUCUUAGACAAUGGGCGCAAGCCUGAUCUAGCCAUGCCGCGUGAGUGACGAAGGCCCUAGGGUCGUAAAGCUCUUUCGCCUGUGAAGAUAAUGACGGUAGCAGGUAAAGAAACCCCGGCUAACUCCGUGCCAGCAGCCGCGGUAAUACGGAGGGGGUUAGCGUUGUUCGGAAUUACUGGGCGUAAAGCGCGCGUAGGCGGACCAUCAAGUUGGGGGUGAAAUCCCGGGGCUCAACCCCGGAACU
Molecule: ribosomal RNA, 537 nt
Filed under: uncultured bacterium
Lineage: Bacteria
Description: bacterial SSU rRNA
Rfam family: Bacterial small subunit ribosomal RNA
Source: RNAcentral